This 77-nucleotide transfer RNA is filed under the name bacterium. RNAcentral's name for it is "tRNA-Val". It matches the Rfam family "tRNA". Rfam says of the family: Transfer RNA (tRNA) molecules are approximately 80 nucleotides in length. Their secondary structure includes four short double-helical elements and three loops (D, anti-codon, and T loops). The record is from RNAcentral. RNAcentral also lists the same sequence under 1 other name.
GGGCGAUUAGCUCAGUUGGCUAGAGCACUACCUUGACAGGGUAGGGGCCACUGGUUCGAGUCCAGUAUCGCCCACCA